This 206-nucleotide ribosomal RNA is filed under the name uncultured bacterium. RNAcentral's name for it is "partial 16S ribosomal RNA". It matches the Rfam family "Bacterial small subunit ribosomal RNA", at positions 568 to 774 of the family's 1533-position model. The record is from RNAcentral.
CGCGUAGGUGGUUUUGUAAGCGAGAGAUGAAAUCCCAUGGCUCACCCAUGGAACUGUCUCUCGGACUGCGAAGCUUGAGGGCGGGAGAGGAGAGUGGAAUUCCCGGUGUAGCGGUGAAAUGCGUAGAUAUCGGGAGGAACGCCGGUGGCGAAAGCGACUCUCUGCCCGUUCCUGACACUGAGGCGCGAAAGCUAGGGGAGCAAACA